Molecule: ribosomal RNA, 280 nt
Filed under: uncultured Glomus
Lineage: Eukaryota; Fungi; Glomeromycota; Glomeromycetes; Glomerales; Glomeraceae
Description: partial 18S small subunit ribosomal RNA
Rfam family: Eukaryotic small subunit ribosomal RNA
Source: RNAcentral
CCAAUAGCGUAUAUUAAAGUUGUUGCAGUUAAAAAGCUCGUAGUUGAAUUUCGGGAUCAAUAUGCUGGUCGUGCCAUUGGUACGUACUGGUAUUAUUGAUUUCUCCUUUCUGAUGAAUCAUGAUGUCAUUAAUUUGAUGUCAUGGGGAAUCAGGAUUGUUACUUUGAAAAAAUUAGAGUGUUUAAAGCAGGCUCGCGCUUGAAUACAUUAGCAUGGAAUAAUGAAAUAGGACGUUUGAUUCUAUUUUGUUGGUUUCUAGGAUUGACGUAAUGAUUAAUAG